UUGGAGGGCAAGUCUGGUGCCAGCAGCCGCGGUAAUUCCGGCUCCAAUAGCGUAUAUUAAAGUUGUUGUGGUUAAAAGCUCGUAGUUGAACCUUGGGCCUGGCUGGCCGGUCCGCCUCACCGCGUGUACUGGUCCGGCCGGGCCUUUCCCUCUGUGGAACCCCAUGCCCUUCACUGGGUGUGGCGGGGAAACAGGACUUUUACUGUGAAAAAAUUAGAGUGCUCCAGGCAGGCCUAUGCUCGAAUACAUUAGCAUGGAAUAAUAGAAUAGGACGUGUGG
RNAcentral lists this ribosomal RNA (279 nucleotides) under uncultured Ascomycota. Its description in RNAcentral is "partial 18S ribosomal RNA". It matches the Rfam family "Eukaryotic small subunit ribosomal RNA", at positions 548 to 834 of the family's 1831-position model. Lineage: Eukaryota; Fungi; Ascomycota. The record is from RNAcentral.